GACGAACGCUGGCGGCGUGCCUAAUACAUGCAAGUAGGACGCAGUUGCGAACGGGUGAGAAACGCGUAGGUAACUGCCUAUUAGAGGGGGAUAACUAAUGGAAACGAUAGUUAAUACCGCAUACUAGCAGAUGGACCUGCUUUGUAUUAGCUAGUAGGUAGGGGAAUGGCCUACCUAGGCAACGAAGCAUAGCCGGGCUGAGAAGGUGGUCGGCCCAACGUGGGCUGGUGCACAGCCCAGCCUCAUUAGGGGAGCAACCGUAAGGGAUCUUCCGCCAUGGGACGAACCCUGACCGAGCAACGCCGCGUGAGUGAAGAAGGUUUUCAGUUCGUAAAGCUCUGUUUUUUAGGAAGCGGUACUUAACCAGAAAGCGACGGCUAACUACGUGCCAGCAGCCGCGGUAAUAC
This 407-nucleotide ribosomal RNA is filed under the name uncultured bacterium. Its description in RNAcentral is "partial 16S ribosomal RNA". It matches the Rfam family "Bacterial small subunit ribosomal RNA", at positions 28 to 526 of the family's 1533-position model. The record is from RNAcentral.